AAAAGAAACUAACAAGGAUUCCCCUAGUAACGGCGAGUGAAGCGGGAAGAGCUCAAAUUUGUAAUCUGGUGGACUCAGUUCAUCCGAGUUGUAAUCUAUAGAAGUGUUUUCCGCGCCGGACCGUGUCUAAGUCCCUUGGAACAGGGUGUCAGAGAGGGUGAGAAUCCCGUGCUUGAUACGACCACCGGUGCUAUGUGAUACACUUUCAACGAGUCGAGUUGUUUGGGAAUGCAGCUCAAAAUGGGUGGUAAAUUCCAUCUAAAGCUAAAUAUUGGCGAGAGACCGAUAGCGAACAAGUACCGUGAGGGAAAGAUGAAAAGCACUUUGGAAAGAGAGUUAAACAGUACGUGAAAUUGUUGAAAGGGAAACGAUUGAAGUCAGUCGUGCGCUCUGGGACUCAGCCGGUUCUGCCGGUGUACUUCCCAGUGCGCGGGUCAACAUCAGUUUAGAUCGCUGGAUAAGGGCAUUAGGAAUGUGGCUCCCUCGGGAGUGUUAUAGCCUAGUGUCGCAUACAGUGGUUCAGACUGAGGAACGCAGCUCGCCUUUAUGGCCGGGGUUCGCCCACGU
RNAcentral lists this ribosomal RNA (567 nucleotides) under Holtermannia sp. RNAcentral describes it as "partial large subunit ribosomal RNA". It matches the Rfam family "Eukaryotic large subunit ribosomal RNA", at positions 57 to 635 of the family's 3401-position model. Lineage: Eukaryota; Fungi; Basidiomycota; Tremellomycetes; Holtermanniales. The record is from RNAcentral.